AGACCCCGAUCACCCGCAGCUACGAGAGUUGCCGCCGCCAGUGUGUGCCGGGCGACGUCGCCCACGCCCCUGCCAGCCAUCCUCACAGCAGCAGCAGCCCUGGUAGAAAUUGAUGUGGGCACCCUCUCGACCCGCCCCUGUACUUGUCUUUGUCCCAGCUCUGCGGACUGAGCCUACCUCUCUUCCUUGGGGUAUUAAUGCUACCUAUUGUCUCUCUUGAAUCUUUUCCCUCCAAAACUGCACAGAAGGAGCCAUUUAACACCCAGGGAAACUGAGGCUUAGAGUGCUGCAAUGCUUGCCCAAGAUCCCACAGCCAGAUGGGUAAAUCUAGGAUUCACACCGAGAUCUUUGGAAAACCAAAAGACUUUUCCUCUGCUUUUCAGCCUCCAGAAUUCUCUGAAUUGCUUAAGUCUCUGGCCUCAAAUGCCCCAAGAUCCUCCUUGGGAGACCUCUCUGACAGGGAGCUUGGGGGAGAGCAGAGGGGCAUUGACUUAACUCUGCUGGAGGGAUCUUCUGAGGAAGAAACUUCUCCUUCUGCAUCCAGGCUGUGCUGGGCCCUGGACUCAGAGGAGAGGUGGUCCCAUGCCAUUGGAUUGCAUCUAUGACUUCGGGAGGUAGGGCGAAGACUGGUCCCCCAGACACCACAGAGCUUCCCAUCUUCUUUUGCCAGGUAAAGGUUGGGGGCUGCUCCCAGGAGCCCACAUCAAAUCUGUUUGCUCUGAGGCCUAGAACCACAAGGCCCCUAGUGCUUCAAAAGCCAUGGGGGUUCUCAUAGGACCCAGGAACUCUAAGGUGGCUUCUGAAGCUCAGACCCCAGGAAGGGAGAGCUUGGAGUGGGUCAGGAGACCAGGGAACCAUCUCUCAUUC
This 867-nucleotide long non-coding RNA is filed under the name Homo sapiens (human). RNAcentral's name for it is "non-protein coding lnc-KBTBD13-5:1". The record is from RNAcentral. Lineage: Eukaryota; Metazoa; Chordata; Mammalia; Primates; Hominidae.